UUCAGUGAUGAAAUAGCUGCAUAGGAAGUGCCGUCUGAUGCGAUAACUGACGCUGGCUAAAGCUGCUCUGAGA
This 73-nucleotide small nucleolar RNA is filed under the name Esox lucius (northern pike). Its description in RNAcentral is "Small nucleolar RNA SNORD49 (ENSELUG00000045536.1)". It matches the Rfam family "Small nucleolar RNA SNORD49". From Rfam's summary of the family: U49 belongs to the C/D class of snoRNA which contain the C (UGAUGA) and D (CUGA) box motifs. Most of the members of the box C/D family function in directing site-specific 2'-O-methylation of substrate RNAs. Lineage: Eukaryota; Metazoa; Chordata; Actinopteri; Esociformes; Esocidae. The record is from Rfam by way of RNAcentral.